UUGAAAGGGAAACGAUUGAAGUCAGUCGUGCUCGCGANAAAUCAAUUCUCNUCUCGAGAGACCCAUGUGGUGGCGAGCUUCAAAACCUCCCCAGCAUNGAUCUCGCGAUGAAGGGGAGCACUUUCGUGUCCGCUGGUUAACAUCAAUUUCGAACGUCAUAAAAAGGCUGGAGGGAUGUGGCUCCUUCGGGAGUGUUAUAACCUUUAGCGGAAUGUGGUGUUCGGGAUUGAGGAUUGCAACGAAUACCUUUAGGGCUGUUCCACCUGGCUUCUCUUUGGUAUCCUGGUGACGACAGCUUGCUGACGUCGUUAGGAUUCGCCUUUGAACAGGCUAGAGUGUGAGCAAAUUCGUUAAGGAUGUUGACGUA
Molecule: ribosomal RNA, 367 nt
Filed under: uncultured Glomeromycotina
Lineage: Eukaryota; Fungi; Glomeromycota
Description: LSU rRNA
Source: RNAcentral